Molecule: long non-coding RNA, 1579 nt
Organism: Felis catus (domestic cat)
Lineage: Eukaryota; Metazoa; Chordata; Mammalia; Carnivora; Felidae
Exons: 2
Source: RefSeq, a predicted model, not a curated record
UAUUUUUGUAACCAUUUUUAAUCGGAUAAUUUUGUGAGAAGCAUUAUAAUUGCCUUACAGAAUAAACUGAUCCCUUCAAAUUGACUCCUUUGUGGAUUAAAAGGGCAAUGACCCUGUAUUUAUAGAUCAGGUGAGAAUGAUGCACUCUAAAAUUUUCAAUCCACACAGUAGGAUCAAUUAUGAAAAAGAUCAACCUUAAGUGCCAGGGCUUGGAAAGUUUAAAAUAAAAAAUCAGUUGCAAAGCAUUAUUUUACUUCACUAAAAUCCGCCCAAUAGAAAAUAGAUAUGAAGAUGUUGGAAUUGGCUGAGGGCACAAAUGUUUCCUGUCAUACAUUUUUUGUUUCUUGUCCCAGGGUUUCCAUUUACUAAUUACAUGUCCUAGACGAAGUCUCUGAACUCUCUGAGCCUCAGUGGAGGAGACGUCUCCAUGUCCUCAUCUCUGAAAAGAGUUUUAACCGUAUCUCCCACGUGGGUGGUGAUGAGACUUAUAUGAGAAGAGCAAGAGAAUUGUUUUGGUCAUUCCAUCAGCUUCAGAAGCCCAAGUAAGUGUGCUGGUUAAAAUGUUCAGUGCACACAUCUGUCAGCAUGUUCCACAUGAGAAACAAAAGACUACAGCUGCAAUCAUAGCCUUAGGAGCCAGCAAGCAGAACGAGUAGCUAGAACAACGCAAAGUCAGAAAACCAGCAAGUGAACUGCAUAAACGCUAAGGAGAGAAAGCCCUACAGCAGACUACUCCUCAGCUGACAAGGGACAGAGCAAAAUAAAAUUAGGGGAAUAGACUGGAAAAUGAAGACAUAUCACUGCUCCAAACUGGUGCAAAUCACAUUCCUUGUUGCUCCUCUAUAACUUGUAUGCAUUGCUUUAAUUUUGGUUUGGUAAAUGGAAAAUAUAAUUAUCCAGUUCGGUGGAAUUUAUCAAAACCUUCAAGACUUAGUGUGGUGAUCAUUUUGCAAUGUAUACUAAUAUCAAAUUAUUAUGGCAUAUGCUGGAAACUAAUAUAAUGUUAUAUGUCAAUUAUACCUCAAUGAAAAAGAGAAUUUUUAAAUUUCUAGUUACUGUGUAGUACUUAAUGCAUUGUUAAAUAUUUAGUAAAACUAAAAAUACUUAUUUGACCAUCAUUAUAUUUACUCUUGAAAAUAAGGAUAAGGAAAAAGAUCAACUGUUAAAAUAGGUGUAGCAAAUUAUUUUAAGUUGAAAGAUAUCCUUGCAUGGAGGGGAAAAAUUUUGUGAAAGUAAUUGUAAAUAUUUGUGGGGACUUUUCAUAUAAAAAUCAUGGGUUCAGCUCAUGUGUCCCUUUAAUACUCCAUACUACCUCAUGAUGGACUUUUGUUUGGCAAACUUUUGUGUUUUAACCAUAAUCAGCUAUGUGAGUCGAAUUAGCAAUGUCCAAAAAUCAUCUGCUAUUUAAUUCUUAACUGUUUGUAGAGACUCCAAAUACUAUCCAUGCAUAUGUGCAAGAUACAAAUUUUUGCCUUUCAGGAGUAUAUUAUCAUUUAUAAACUCAAAUAAGUGUUCAUAAUUAUGAUUAUGCAAAAAUAUAUAAUAACGCCUCUAAUAAAAGCCUCUUUUGAGAAAUAAA